Molecule: ribosomal RNA, 753 nt
Filed under: uncultured soil bacterium
Lineage: Bacteria
Description: bacterial SSU rRNA
Rfam family: Bacterial small subunit ribosomal RNA
Source: RNAcentral
CAACGCUGGCGGCGUGCCUAACACAUGCAAGUCGAACGCGAAAGUCCCGCAAGGGAUUAGUAGAGUGGCAAACGGGUGAGUAACACGUGGGUGACCUGCCUUCGAGUGGGGGAUAACGUCCCGAAAGGGACGCUAAUACCGCAUGACAUCCUGCCUAUGAAGAGGUGGAGCUUAAAGCCGGGGAUCGCAAGACCUGGCGCUUGAAGAGGGGCCCGCGCCUGAUUAGCUAGUUGGUGAGGUAACGGCUCACCAAGGCAUCGAUCAGUAUCCGGCCUGAGAGGGCGGACGGACACACUGGGACUGAGACACGGCCCAGACUCCUACGGGAGGCAGCAGUGGGGAAUUGUUCGCAAUGGGCGCAAGCCUGACGACGCAACGCCGCGUGGAGGAUGAAGAUCUUCGGGUCGUAAACUCCUUUCGAUCGAGACGAACGGCUUCCGGGUGAACAAUCCGGAAGAGUGACGGUACCGAGAGAAGAAGCCCCGGCUAACUCCGUGCCAGCAGCCGCGGUAAUACGGGGGGGGCAAGCGUUGUUCGGAAUUACUGGGCGUAAAGGGCUCGUAGGCGGCCAACUAAGUCAGACGUGAAAUCCCUCGGCUUAACCGGGGAACUGCGUCUGAUACUGGAUGGCUUGAGAUUGGGAGAGGGAUGCGGAAUUCCAGGUGUAGCGGUGAAAUGCGUAGAUAUCUGGAGGAACACCGGUGGCGAAGGCGGCAUCCUGGACCAACACUGACGCUGAGGAGCGAAAGCCAG